GGGGAUGACAGGAUUCGACAGGAAGCUUUACUUUUCAAGUUGCAAUCCGGGCGUCGCGCUAGUCCGCCCGUAUAUCCGUCUGGCGCAAAACAAAUGCAGAAAAUGCAAAUGAAAUGGCAUUCGUUAGAGCUGCUCGUGCUUUUGCACCAGCUUUGGCCCUUGCCUAAUUGCCUGAAUUUUUCGGGUAACGUCUUACGCGUUGAUGCCUAAUAGAUGCGAUAAGGCGACAAUUUUUAGGAUAAGCGUGCGAAUUUAGAACUGAAUACUGCACGUCGAAAAAAUAUCAGUCCGCUAUUUUGGGUUUUUGUUCGCUUUUAAUCCAAUUUAGCGCAAAACAAACGAACUAAGAUUGUAGGCGCUUGAGAUGUGGCUUUUUGGACCCGGGUUCGACUCCCGGCAUCUCCACCA
RNAcentral lists this transfer-messenger RNA (408 nucleotides) under Patescibacteria group. Its description in RNAcentral is "UBA12463 sp000992695 Standard tmRNA". It matches the Rfam family "transfer-messenger RNA". From Rfam's summary of the family: Bacterial tmRNA, also known as 10Sa RNA or SsrA, is named for its dual tRNA and mRNA-like properties. RNAcentral also lists the same sequence under 1 other name. The record is from RNAcentral.